RNAcentral lists this ribosomal RNA (342 nucleotides) under Triticum aestivum (bread wheat). RNAcentral describes it as "partial small subunit ribosomal RNA". The record is from RNAcentral. Lineage: Eukaryota; Viridiplantae; Streptophyta; Magnoliopsida; Poales; Poaceae.
AUGGUUGUUCGGGAGCUUUGGGAGAUGGAAGAGCUCGUGGGAAAGAUCCUGCUCAGCAUUCCGCCGGAGGAGCCGGAGAUCCUCGUCCGCGCCUCCCUCGCCUGCAAACCUUGGUGCCGCCUCCUCUCCGGCAACGCGUUCCGCAGCCGCUACCUCGCCUUGCAUGGAACAGCUCCGGUCCUGGGCUUCCUGCAGAGCUGGGUGGCCGGCGAGCUCGAGCGCUUCGUCCCCACAAAAAAGUUCUGCCCCCGCAGUCCCAUUCCCAAACGUGAGAGCACUUUCGUGCUCGACUGCCGCCAUGCAUGGCCGCGUUCUUCUUGGGUGCCUGCAACAGCGCGAUGA